This 1954-nucleotide unclassified non-coding RNA is filed under the name Limulus polyphemus (Atlantic horseshoe crab). Its description in RNAcentral is "protein trapped in endoderm-1-like, transcript variant X3". The record is from RNAcentral. Lineage: Eukaryota; Metazoa; Arthropoda; Merostomata; Xiphosura; Limulidae.
UAUCUCUCGUCGUUCAUAUGUCAUAUGAGAACUCUGUUUCUUGUUGUUCAAGCUCGGUUUAAAACGUUACACAUACGUUAUCAUAAUCCUGUUGAACGAAUGGUCGAGUUAGUAACAGUAGAGUGAUUGAAGUCUCAGUUUGCUGUAGCCUGUGUCCACGAUAACCUAGAAGUUGAUGUUUAUUGUUGGGAUUUUUAAGUUCGUGUUUCAUUUAUCAAUCUACUAAAAGAACAUAAAAAAAGGAAAUACAUAUCUAUAUAAAGACAAAAGAAGAAAAAAGGAAAGAGUUAAACAUUAGUAGAAACCUGCAAUAUUACCGACUUGGACGGAGUUUGAAGAUCGAUUAUAAAUCCUGAUGGAAGAUGUUAACGGAACUGAAGUUAUCCUAGAGAUACCAAGGUAUCCUCGUGGUGCUACAGUAUUUGCUGCUGUUUGCUGUGUUAUAUUCAUCAUCAUUGGGCUGCUGGGCAACUUUUUGACGAUCCUCGCCCUCUGUCGGAGCGUAAAAUUGAGAAACGCCACCACGGCGUUUGUAAUCAGUCUUUGUACAACUGACUUCCUGUUUUGUGCGAUUAAUUUACCUCUAACAGCAUCACGGUACAUCCACCAGGCUUGGUUGUUAGGAGAAACAAUGUGUUCUCUGUUUCCGUUUUUCUUCUAUGGAAACGUUGGGGCUUCCCUCCUGUCUAUGACAAUGAUUACAAUCAACAGAUUAAUCUUAAUCAACCACUACAACCUGUACGACAGAAUCUACAAGAAACGUUACGUGGCGCUGAUGAUCGCCUUUUCUUGGAUAUUUAGCUUCUCCAUGCUUACACCGACAUUGGCACGUGCUUGGGGAGAGUUCGGUCUGAACGAUGAAACAUUUUCUUGUACCAUCCUAAGACGAAACGGUCACUCUCCAAAGAAGUUCUUGUUUAUCAUAGGCUUCUUGGUUCCUUGUGUCGUGAUCAUUGUCUCCUACUCUUGUAUCUUCUACAAGGUACGUCACAGUCGGAGAAAUAUCGAGGCUCACAGUCCAACCAGUCAAACAACUCCAUCCACCAUCACGAGACAAAAUACCCAACGAAACGAUGAAAUUCGACUGACUCGCAUGAUGCUGAUCAUCUUCUGCUCAUUUAUUCUUUGUUUCCUACCCCUGAUGGUAGUAAAUGUUUUUGACAGCAGAAUUAGAUACCCUACCAUACAUGUCCUAGCUUCAGUCUUGGCAUGGAUGUCAUCUUGUAUCAAUCCAUUCAUCUAUGCAGUGAUGAAUCGUCAUUACCGUCAAGCUUACUACCGGCUGUUAUGUUCAAAGGUUCGUCAUCACACACCAUCGACAGGAUCAAGUUUAAACCGUUCCCAAAAUUCAUGCUUAGCUGGAGCUUCCAAAACUGUGGUUUCUGAAAUAUUUGUUUUUCCUACCAAAGUCAAACCUGAAAGAAAUGAUAAGGAGGAAAAUGCUGUUUAAAACUUUGAUAACCAAUUCUUAUUUUAUGAUUAUUUAGAUCAGAGUUAGAGUAUGCAGCACUGCAUGCAAAAAUGUAAGUUAGAUAUCUGAAUAACUAAACAAAAUACCCAAAAACUCAGAAAGACCUGGUUGUAAGGAUAUUUACUCAAAUUAAUGUGAAAAUCUCAAUAGUUUUAAUUAUGUUUGAUAGAGUCUUGCUUUUCUGAAACGUGUUAGUAAUAACUAAAUUCAUCUUAAUUUUGAUUGUGGAUAUAAGAAAAAAAGAACUGCUACAUUCUUAUUAAAAAUAUGUUUACUUUAAUAUUUAGUUACUGUUACUGUAUAAUGCCUUUAUAUUCAUUGUUUAUGCUGAAUAAUUAGUUUACAUUGAAAUAAUUAUAGACUGUCAAGAAUGAGGAACUUUUUUGCAAACCUUAGUUUAACAUCUUUAACAGCCAUGCAAUAUAAAAAUCACAGGUUUUUGAAUGUGUCAAUUUCGGUAAUAUAUAUAUAUAUAUAUAUAUA